RNAcentral lists this long non-coding RNA (3351 nucleotides) under Homo sapiens (human). Its description in RNAcentral is "HSALNT0288179". Lineage: Eukaryota; Metazoa; Chordata; Mammalia; Primates; Hominidae. The record is from RNAcentral.
UCCAUGUGUCUGCAAAAAAGUUAUGAUUCUAUUGUUUUUUAUGCCUGAGUAGUAUUUCAUUGUGUAUAUUUUCUACAUUUUCUUUCUCCAAUCAUUUGUUGAUGGACAUUUAGGUUGAUUUUAUAUCUGUGCUACUGUGAAUAGUAUUGCAACAAAUACACAAGUAUAGUUAUCUUUCUGAUAGAUUGAUUUCUUUUCCUUUGCAUAAAUACUCAGUGGUGGGAUUGCUGAAUCAGACAGAGCCAAUGGAUGAUCAGUAAUGGUGGCCAAUCAUCAGCUAGAAACAAAGAACUUAGCAGGGCUUGAAAACACCAAAACUCUGAGACCACUGACCUUCAAAAACUUCAACAGCCCUGAGUGAAAAGUCCAAACACAUUUAUCUACCAUUCAAAGAUGCUUUAUUGUCUGUCCUCUGUGCAUCUCAGUAGCCUCUUUUUACCACACUGUCUCUAUACUGCAUGAGCCAUUUAUAUGAAACUAUCUGACUCUCCAUGGCAUCUUAUACCAUGUAUUCAACCAUGUAUCCCUAGUACCUAGCACAGUCUUGGUAUAUAGUUUGCUACUAAACUUUUGCAGAAUGAAGGAAUUAUCUUGUAUCGAGGUUCCAAGUUUUAAGGUGAUUCUUCACUAAGAAAAAGUAUUACAGUUCACAAAUAAUCUACUUCCCUUUUUACAGAUGGGAUCAAUUUUAAUCUUAUCUCCUAAUAACAUUACUUUCAUUUAUUCUGAUCUAAAUAUUCUGUCCUAAGAGAGCAAUAAGAAAGAGAGUUGAAGCUGGAGUUUGAAGAAUUGUACAUGGUUCUAUGAUACCUUACCUUGUUUUAACCUGAGUGACUCUCCCCUAGCAGAGAGAGAGCCAGACAGACUCUAUUUUAGUUUCUUCACGUGCAACCCCCUUUACCUCCCUCCCUUAAGGGCAUAACUAGUGUAAACUGACUCAAAGCACAUCCAGGAAUGCACAUACUGAUAAGAUAUUGAGGCAAGCUGCACCAGCAGCUCCUAGGGACGUGCUUGGUGAAUGUCACCCAAAACCCCUGCAUUUCUCUCUUUGUGAUAGUUUAAGUCCCUGCACCUGGAACUGUUUCUUUGUUGUGUAACUGCUUUUGUAACCAAUUAAUUUUUUAACUAUUUGCCAGCUCUGCUUCAGUAAAAAUUGUUUCAGUUAAACUCCCCCCUCCCCUAUUUAGACCACGGAAUAAAAACAAAAUCAGCCCCUUCCUCGGGGCCAAGAGAAUUUUCAGCGUUAGCUGCCUCUCCGUCGCUGGCUAAUAAAGGAUUCCUUAAUUUGUCUCAAAGUGUGGCGUUCCUCUAUAACUCGCUUGGUUACAACAGUCCACACUGUGGCCUGAGGUGCAUCGCCCACCUGAGCUUCAUCUGUUAUCUAUGUCAGGGAAGAUAAGCAGGGUGAGAGUGGCCUCAUCAGAAGACCCAAGAUCUCUGGCUUCCCCAUCUGGCAAGUGCACCUCUGUGAACAAAGACUUCAGAGCCAGAUGACAAGAAUGGCCCAAGCAGUCCACCAGGGAAACUUGGGCCCAGUGUACAUCAAUGCAGAGCGUCAAGCAUGGCAUAACAGGUGGACAGUUGCCUAUUCCUGUUCAGAGAUGACUGCAUCCCACACACUGUAAAAUGAAGAAAUGCAGAGAAGCAGAUGUAACUGAAGCAGACAGCAGGAACAACAAGGAAGGACAACCACGACCUAGGAGGGCACCAUGCCAGAGAUGCCUGGACCCUAUGCUAGGCUCAGUGCCUGUUAUACUCUUGGGAUCCAGCGCUUUCCCUCUCCAUCACAAUGCAUACUUGGCAUUAUUUGUUGUUUAAAAUAUUUUCCUUAGUUUUCACCUUUCCUAGGAGACACAGGCAGACCCUGUGACACUACAGCUUCUGGCACACAGUAGGUGCAUCACAAACAUCUGUUGAGUUCACACACUCUUGCCUUCUCAAACCUUUUUGUCAAGUCUUCAGUGAAAAGGAAUUGCUGAUUGAGCAAGAAUUAAACUUCUAGAGACUUCUGGAUCCACUGAAGUUUAAGACAAGGUGAGAUUUGUUUACUGCCAUAUUCCUAGCUCAUAGCAUACUGUAGUCACUUAAAAAAUGUUUGUUGAAUCAGUGACUGAAUUGAUUCAUACGUCAUACUUAGCUAUAUAUUUUCUGAGUAAAAUUGAUGAAUUUAAUGGUUUAAUUCUAGUAUAAUUUUACUUUCCUUAUUCAACGAACCUGACAAUUCAACUUGGUGCCAAGCACACGGCUGCUGAAGUAAAGGAGGUAUAAGAUACAAUUUCUGUCUACAAGAAAGCCACAAUCUAAAAAGUAGAAACAUAUGAACAAAUUAUAAUAAUAAAUAGGCUACAUUCAAAAUCAGAGGGGUCUGUUUCUAUUUUAAACAGCUCUAGUCAGGAAGUGUUAGAAAGUUCUAAACAGGAAAUGUUCCAACACACCAUCCAAGCAUGAAGCAGGAGACACCUAUAAUUGAGCUUGCUGCCACCAACCCCAACAGCAAGAAUUCCAGUCCUGCUGCUGCAAAGUAGAAUUAUCGUUUGACUUCUGUUUUGCUGACAAGAAAUGUCCUGAGCAAGGCUACCUGGGAAAAUGACCUCACACAUGGAAAACGUUGGAGCCCAUCUGUUUCCAAUGUGCUGUUUUCCGAAAAUUAGGGAAGUUCAGUUUUCCCUUUGACACUCUCUCUUACUACCAAUCCCAAUGCCAGGGCUGUCCUGCUUCUACAAGUGACAAUGACAAAUAUGGGCCUGAAGAAAGAUGAGCUGAUGGCAUUCCCAGCUUAUUACCUCUCCUUGGGGUCCUUAUCUCACAUACAUGAAUUCAACUCAUAAACUCAGCUGGGUGAGGAUCUGUUAUUCAGCUACAUAAGAAGUGAUUGCUUAAGACUCGGGUGUGUGGUGAAAUGAGGCAGAAUUUUCUCAAUGGAAUGUUGGGAGAAUUUUCUCAUUAUUACCAUCUUACUAUCACUAAAUCAUAGCUAAAAUGAAGACAUUGUUCAAGAAGAAAUAGAAAUGUAACCUUAUGAGGACAUAAAUUUAGAGAUUUGUGGAGAGCUCUUCAUAAUUUUAUGGUGUUGUCUUUGAGCUGGGAUUAUAGUUGACAUUUCAUUAUAAUAUAUUAGCUGUUCUAGACUUUAUGCAUUUAUGCAGUUUUCUUUAUUGUACUUUAAGUUCUGUGAUACAUGGGCAGAGCAUGCAGGUUUGUUACAUAGUUAUACACGUGUCGUGGUGGUUUGCUGCACCCAUCAACCCGUCAUCUACAUAUGUAUUUCUCCUAACGCUAUUCCUCCCCUAGCCUCCCACCCCAUGACAGGCCCCAGUGUGUGAUGUUCCCCUCCCUGUGUCCAUGUGUCCU